Catharus ustulatus (Swainson's thrush) is the source of this 2623-nucleotide long non-coding RNA. RefSeq lists it as uncharacterized. Lineage: Eukaryota; Metazoa; Chordata; Aves; Passeriformes; Turdidae. The transcript has 5 exons. The record is from RefSeq and is a predicted model, not a curated record.
GCUUGUGCUUCGUACUCAGUGAAAAAGCAAUCUGACUACGAUACGCUAAUGCACAGGAUGCUGUUUAGUCGCUGCUUUCUUACUGUACUGAGCAAAAUUAUGACAAAAUGAGUCUGCAGAGGUUGUCGAAAUACACAAGAUGCAGAAUCUAAGGUAUCUAGUGCAAAAACAAAAGGAGGAGCUACACAAAUUUCACUUGGAAGCUCAAACUAUUGAAUUUCUUGAACUUUAAGCAGCCUGAGUCUUUGCUGAAAUAAACCAGUGCACUCCAUUAACUGUGAUGUGAGAGAAGAUUUGUUGUCUUUAGCAGCUUCUUCAAACAUGCAGAUCUAGAUUAAACCUGGCACUGUAAUGUGUCUGGAGGAGGAAGCUGGCAACUGAGAAGAAUAUUUCUGAGCUCAUACCAUUCUGUCCAGUGAAAAAGGGAAAAGAAAUGUGAAGGGUUACCUAGUGGCAUGGAAUUUUAUCAUCCCUGCUUUACAAGGAGGAAAACAUGGAUGCUGAAGAUGUAAAUGUUUGCAUUCUCAGGUUUUGCAGCAGAAGAAGAACAGUAGAAAUAGAAAUACAAGCUAAGAAAGUACUACUGCAGAGUAACUCCCUGUAACUAUGAAAGAAAUUAUUAAAUCUGUGCUUCUCUAUCAGCCCUUACAGUACAGUUAGAAUAAUUUGUAUUCACAAGGAUUUUAGAAAGGCAUGGAUAACAUAACUAUUUAUCACAUGAUCAAACACAUGCUUUUAAACAGUGAAAAGUUCAAAACUGUCAAAGUACAGGGUACAAGGAUAGAAAAAGUAAUAACUUGUCCUGUUCUUUUCCCUUCCUUUUUGAGAGCUAAAACCAAUUUCUCUAAAGAUAUGUUUGUUCUUUUCUACACAUUCAAGAUGUCAAACUGAGCGAUUUUGACACCCAUUCAUUCUUAAAGGGAAAGAGCUUAGCCAGCAAGAGGAUAAAAAAGAAAGGAUUACUUCUGUACAAGUAUCGCUCAAAAUCUUAAUUAUACCCUAAAAAUGAAGGAAAUGCAUUCCACUACUUUUCAAAUGUAAGUAGCUCAAAUAAUGAUGGUAAAAUGAAGUGACUUAAUAACAAUUUUAGAAAAUAGAAAAUCUAGUUCUUUAAAAUCUUUUUUUUGUAUUUUAAAACAUACUCAUUCUGUAAGCAGCUGACAUAAUAGUAGAGAAAUGAACAUGAAUUAACAAUAAUUUAGAUAAAUGCCAGGAGGCUGAAUACUGUGAGUACUUUGAAAUCUUUUUGAAACGGUAAAAUUCAUUAGAAAAGGGUGUGGGUGGAAGGUAAAACUAUCUCUGUGGUUCAGCUCCCUGCUGAGAAAAAUAAUUUAAUAAAAUUUUUAAAAAACACUGAUGAAAUACAUUUGAAGACCAUUAUGUACACCAUCUUAAUAAAACUAUAACCUUUACCUACAUUGGCCUAUGCAAGCAAAAUCCAAACACGUGUAAAGCGUCUAUUGGCAUAUUUGGUGCUUGUCUCUCCACUGAUAUGUUACAUCAGAAAACAAAUGUAUUCAAGGAAAGUAAAUUCUUUUCAAUAUUAUAUUAAAAGCACUGGUGGGAAGGAAUCGGGCAAGGAAACACUGUGCUGUAUUUUAUGCCAUAGCUCAGUCCUUCAGUACAUUAACAGUAUCCCAAAAAUUUGAGAAACUGAAAUUCAAUUCUCUCCUGAGAUCUGCAGCUACAGUAAGAUGGCAGGUCAACUGUCAGACAAAAUAUAUUCAGAAGUACAUGAUGCUCUGUGUGGCUCAAAAGAAGGCCUUUUCAGCUUUCAUCUCAACUGAAAAUUCACAGGAACAGAUGGUUGGUACGUGAUUCAAUUGCUGCGUGCAGAAGGUGCUGAUAACACCAGAGAAGCCUGUGGGGCUGCUGCUUUAUUCCUCAGCCUACAGUGUCACUCCUGCCCUGCCUGUCUAGCAGGCUGCUCAAGUAUUGUACCCAAGACAGAAGGGGUCCCCAGCAGGAGAAACCAAAGGAGGCUCAAUUCAGACUACUAUAGCACAGUUUGGAAAGUCUUGGAUAGUUUGGAAAGCUUUGCAAGUGGAAAGUUUGAAGAAGGCUUAAGGCAAACUGCUAGCUGAGAGUGUCAGUGAACCCAUUUGUGCCUCUUGAAAGACUAUAGAAACUACUGGGACAUAAAAGGAAAAGAACUUUGCUCACAUCCUUGUAGUAUCCGUGCUGCUUUCUUCCUUUCCAAAUGAGAGGUGGGGGUGGACACAUCAUAUUUAACACCCUGGCAACUGAUUUGAUGUUUGGGGGUUUUUGGUCUUUUUGCUUUGUUUUGAUUGCCAGUUAGUCAAGAAAGCACCAGAAUCAUUUGGAAAUAAGUUAUGAUAAUCCACAGUACACGUUCAUUAGUAACAUAAAACCCAGUAAUGUUUCUGCAGUAUGAUAUCCUAGGAUUAAAGCUAAAAUGUGGAAAAAAACAGGGAAAAUAACAUUCUGAGUAUACACUAAGAGUAGAAGUUUGAGGAUUGUUAUAAUUUAUUUUACCACAAGAUACAACCAGAUUGUGUUCUCUCAGGUAGCUCAACGGCUUUUUUUUUUUUUCCUUGCCAAAAACCCCUUUCUUCCCUAAAACCCAAUUGUACCAUUAAAAAAAACCACUCUCCCCAUUGAA